GGGCACACGCGCGCCCCGCCCCUCAAGUCCCCGCAUGAUCCGGUGGCUCUGGGGGAGGGGCUGGUGGGAACCCCGCGCUGGGAAGAGAGGUGCCCUCCUGCCUCCUCCAUCCCCAGGCGCGUGUCCAGGGUAAAAGCGGAAGCGCUGUCUGGCUUGUGCCACCUCAUUUAGUAGCCCAUCCACCAUGCCACCCACCCAAGGAGCCUCCCCAAACUCUACACCCCUUAUUUCCGGUGUCCUGGGAUGGCCCUGAAGAGCAGAAGGCAGGUGUGCCUGGCCGUCAUAACGUUCCUAACGAAAAGAACUGCAGCCGCUGUUUGCGCACCAGAGCCGGGGGCGGGCCGCCUGCUGCUGCUGUUUUCCUUGGGUCCAGAAGGGCGGACACAGCCUCUCUCUGACACGCCCUCGUGCAGCAGCGGACAGGCCAUCGUGUCUUGUGAGCCCGGGGGGAGGUCCUGGAGGACCUUUGCUGGAGGGAGUGCUGCGGCCGUUUCCCAAGGCACUCCAAUGCCUCAAAGAUGAAAUGUUGCUUUUCCUCCUUUCUUGUGAGGCGCACUGAGAUGAUGUCUUUGUGUCCCAGAAAGUAAACGAGACCAAGUGAGAGCGGUAGGAGCAGGCCCUCCGGAAUCGCGGAGGGUGGAAUUCCUUCCGAGGAGGGUGAGCCACGCUCUUGUGCGGGCGUCGGGGGGCAGGUGGGUUCACGUCCUUUGUGUUUGGUGAGGACUAACAAGGAAAACAGCCAGACCUCCGGGUGGUGUGGAUCCCCGGAAGGACCCGGUGACUGCGGAGGAGCGGGUGCUGGAACCAGCCUGGGAGCCGCUAGGCCUUGGCGUGGGAAUCGCAGCGUUGAGCCCUGAGCGACCAGGAGGCGCCCUCGCCUCUGAAAACCAGCAGGUGCAGGCAGGACCUGGGGCCGCGCCUGGAUCCAGGUCUCCGCGACGCGACAGCACCUCCUGGUGGCCGCGAGGAGGAAUGAGCGAAGUUCAGCGAGCCAGGGACGCCCCGCGGGAGGAGGCGGGGCUGCCCUCCUUCCCUUGGCCUUUGCGCAGCAGUCAGCGCCAGAGGUUGGUGCAGCAAGAGCUCCUGGGAAAAAGGGAAACCACAGAACCCGCAGCUCCUCUGGCAGUGGGGGUGGAGCACUUACUGCAAACCCCGAAGAUGAAUCCGUGUUUGUAUCUUGAGUCUAAGGAGGAGGUGGUGCUAUUAAAACAAAGAAAAAGAGUUAGCAUCAGCAAGAAACAUCACCUCUAGAGGUUCCCAGAGUUUUCAGUUCAUCCUCUACUGUAAAGAAAUGCAAGAGGAAGCGGGGGCAACCAGGCAAGGGGGUAGUGAAGCCAGCUAUAUACUUCCUCUUUCCCCAGCCCCCCUGUUUUGCUUUUCACAGGAAAAUUCAUUUUGGCCAAUUCGAGCUUGGUUUCCCAAUGUCUUUGACUUUUUGAUAAUGUCGUUUGAUACAUGAAAAACUUUACAUUAGAUGUGAUCUAAUUUAUCUACUUUUUGUUUUUGCCUUGAGCUUUUGGUGUCACAUCUGAGAGCUCAUUGCCAAGUUCAAGGUCAUGAAUAUUUACUCCUCUGCUUUGUUAGAACAAUUUGAGAGCCCUAGCUCUUGUCUUGGGGUGGUCGGUCCAUUUUGAGUUAUGUUUGUGUGUGAUCCGAAGGAAGGGCAAACGUCACCCUGCAUGUGGAAAUCCACCUGCCCCAGCGCCAGGCAGGGGGAGGAGAGUCUUUCCCACCUCACUGAAGGAACGUGGCCACAGCAUCAGUUGACCUUAGAUGUCUAGGUCUAUGUCUGGACUCUCAAUCCUACCACAUUAGUCUGCAUGUCUGUCCUUAUGCCAGUACCACACCUUCAACUUCGUAGCUUCAUAAUAUGUUUUGACAUGGGAAAGUGUGAAUUCUCUGAAUUUGUUCUCCUUUUUCAAAAUUGUUCGGGCUAUUGGGAGCCCCUGGCGACUCUAUAUGAACCCCAGGGCUGUCUUUCCCUUUUCUGGAAGAAAACACUGUUGGAAUUUUGAUAGGGACUGCAUUGGGUCUGUAGGUUGCUUUGGGCAGUAUUGAUUUCUUGACAAUUCAGUCUUCUUAUCUGUGAACACAAGUUAUCUUUCCGUUCACUCGGAUCGUCUUUCAUUUCUCUCCUGAGGGUUUUGUAGUCUUCGGGGCACAAACCUGUCACCUCCUCGGUAUUUUAUUAUCUCAAAUUCUAUUGUAAAUGAAAUUUCUUUCUGAAUUUCCUUUUCAGAUUGUUCACUACACAUAUAUAGAAAAACAGCUGGUUUUUGCAUGUUCAUCGUGCACUUUGCUGAAUUUGGAUAUUAGAUGUAUAGCUUUUUAAUGGAUUCUUUAGGAUUGUCUAAAUAUAGGAUUAUGUCAUCUGUGAAUAAAGAUAAUUUUGGUUCUUCCUUUCCA
Sus scrofa (pig) is the source of this 2406-nucleotide non-coding RNA. The record is from RefSeq and is a predicted model, not a curated record. Lineage: Eukaryota; Metazoa; Chordata; Mammalia; Artiodactyla; Suidae.